RNAcentral lists this long non-coding RNA (276 nucleotides) under Solanum tuberosum (potato). RNAcentral describes it as "long non-coding RNA (STUB_LNC009354)". Lineage: Eukaryota; Viridiplantae; Streptophyta; Magnoliopsida; Solanales; Solanaceae. The record is from RNAcentral.
CUUUGAGUAAUCUGCUAAUUCUUCCACUGUGCUGUCCCCUUCAGACUCAGCAGCAAAUUCCUUAACUGAAUCCACAGUUAUUUCAGAUGCUGAUAGUGCAGCUUGCUCUCUCAAAAACUAAAGAAAAGAUGAGCUCCACAUCAGUUAAUUUGUAGUAGUAGCAGUACAUGAUAAAUUUCCAUUCUAACUCUGCAGAGAUACCUACUUUCAUAAUCUUGUGCCGGGCGCAACGAGUUUUUGCAUGUUGAAGCCACUGUUUAUGUCUCUCGAAAGCAG